AAUCGUCUUUUUUUAUCUGUCUCAUAAAACCGAUUUUUCUGAGAUCCCUUCUUCUGCGUACUCAACUCUUCUUUGGUUCUUUACAUCAUCUUGAACAAGUGAUUGCAACAUCUGCAUCUUUUUGCUGAUUCGGAUUCAGUAGUACUUGAAGGAUUUGUAGUCCAGCAAAAGUUUAAAUUUGAUGCAGUUGCCACUACCAAGACUACCUCAAUCAUCUCCAGUCUCCACCAACAAAACAGAUGAUAUACAGAUGAUCGUUGGAAAAGAAUCAUUGGUCUCUACAGAGGUUAUUGGUUUAUUGACCUGCCCUGUGAAUGCCCAGUCAAUGACCAAACCUAAUGGCCAGGAGUGCAUGCUGCAUGAAAAGAUAAUCCAGAACCUCUGCUCAUACUCUGGUAGAGCUACAACGAAGGUGGACGAUUUUUCUUCUUCCCAAAUUAUCAUAGAUCCUUUGUGCUUUAAUUUAGAAGCUUGACAAAUGUGGAAGUUACAAAGAGGCCUAAUUGGAAGGAGUGCCGGAAUUGAGAACUGACAAUCGUGGGCUUGAGGUCUAUGUUUGUGGUGAAUAUAAUUUGCGUGCUUUGUUAGUUUAAGGUUUUGGAUUUCAAGUUCAUGUCUUUUCAGAUUGUAAAUUUGUGAUUCAGAAGUGCUAAUUGGCUAUCUUCUAAUUUGAUACUGUAUUUCUUUAGCUAAGUGUUCAGUACAAUGAACACCAUUUUCUCUCAUUUCAGAGCUUGCAUAUAUGUGCUUAUGAAUUUGGGACCUUCAAAGCCUCAUAACUCCUGGAAAUGUGUAGAUGUUGCUGAGUGUUAUGGUGUCGGUAAUUGGCCAAUCGGAUUUAGGGCGUCACUAUGUCUGCUCUUUGGUGAUAACAAAUCCCUUCAUAAUCAAGGGUGUAAAAUUUUGAUUUUCUUCGGAUCCGCGGGAGUAAUUCGGGGCCGUUGAUUCUGUUUUUGCUCGAGGUAACCAAUCAAUGAAGCCAAUUUAUACCCUUGCAUAGCUUUGUCGGAUUUUGAUACACAGUUGAGUUGUUUGUUGGUUUUGUAUAUGGUGGUGACGUUGUAUCUGGAUAGAAGAGUGUUGUAUUGGUCAACUUAUGUGCUUCAUUCAAGGCUGGGAAGAACGAACAUGGAUGGAUGAUUUAAGGUGCUCGCAUUCAUUGGUUUACUUGCCCCGACUUUGGCUACGACAAUUCUUAAGAAGAACGAAAGCUCUAGCAAAGAUUAAUUUUAAGAAAAGAAAGGCAACCAUUUUCCUGAGGAAUAAUGUGUUGAAACAAAAUCAUCCUAGAUCAUGAGGUGAUGACCCAUGUCAAUCCAAAUGUCACUUAGCUCAUUGUCGUCGGAUCAGUGAAGUCCAUGCCUGCAAUCUUAUGCUUAUUGUCAGAAGUCAGAACCCGAUGAGAUACAGUCAUGUAUUGCCAUUGAACGCUAGCAUCUCAGAUAAUGCAUGGCUUAGGGCUGCCAGUGAGUUGGAAUUGUAUGGAGCAGUCUAGCGUUGAUAAUUCAAAUCGCACAUGAAAGGUAACGUCUGUAUGACUACGAAAGAGGUGAUAGAAGAAUGCAAGUUUUUCUGUUUCGCUGGCCAAGAUACAACCUCAGAUUGUAUUACAUGGAACAUUAUAGUCUUGAGCAUGCAUCAAGAUUGGCAAGAAAAGGCCAGAGAAGAGGUCAUAAGAAUCUGUGGGAAAAACCCACCUCAGUUUGAAAGUCUUGCCGAUCUAAAGACUGUAACCAUGAUCCUAUAUGAAGUUCACAGGUUACAUCCACCUGUGAUCCAACAACAUGGGUGUACAUACAAAAAAAGUGCAGAUUAGAGAUCUCAACCUUCCUGCUGGGGCCGAGAUUAUACUACCAACACUUACUAUUCAUCAUCAUCCUGAACUAUGGGGUGAAGAUGUACAAGACUUCAUACCAGAGAUUCUGUAAGGGGAAUAUCCAAAGCGGCUAGAAUGCCAUCUUAGCUUCAGCAAUGGCGAAGUUUUGCCCUAUACAGAUCCUUGGUCCCCAUCCAAACGGAAAGAACGCUACUGGGCACCACCUCUAUCUAUUUACUGAUAUGCAUAUAAAGAUUCUGAUCAGGAGCAUUAUGAGGAUCAGACUUCAUCGUCGUUUCACCAUCCCUGUAAAUAUUCAGAUCUUCCUCUUUUUUGUAACUUCAGCAGGAUCAUGGAGCUAUUUUUGGAUAUUGGACUUCUUUCCUAGAAUUCAAACACGAUUGAUUCCGGGGUUUGCAUAAAGCAUUUGGGGAGAAUGGGAUCUGAGGGUAUAGCUUUACUAGCAAAGUUGCUGGGGUUUUAAUCCAUAUAGGCCUUCCUAACUAUAAUAAUAAUCCCAGUUGUACCACUACCUGUAGAAGCUGACUAAUGCUACGUUAUUUUACAAUCUAUGAUGGGAAUUUUCCUAAUGCCAGUUCCCCAAUUCUUUGUUCGUAUUUAGAGGACUUUUACAAAAUUAUUUGUUGGGUUUAUUAAUCAAUCAGUGAUUACCCCUGGUUGUGAUGAAAGAGUUAGUUUUUAUGUUUGGUAAAUACUUCUGUUUACUUGAUUGGUGUAGGAUGUAUUAUUUGUGCCAGGGGCGGAUAGGGAGCACAGAUAUUGCAUUACCCCUGGUUGUGAUGAAAGAGUUAGUUUUUAUGUUUGGUAACUACUUCUGUUUACUUGAUUGGUGUAGGAUGUAUUAUUUGUGCCAGGGGCGGAUAGGGAGCACAGAUAUUGCGUUUUUGUUAUAAUACAAUAUUGUGUCCCGCAGGGCUAUGCAAGUGUUGGGAAAUGAUGGUCCAGAUAACCAUAUGGAUGCAGCUAAUAUAUUCCAGCCCUUGCAUCACGUUGAUGGGUAGGAUACUGUGGAAUCCUGAGUUGGUUUCAGGGAUAGCUGUAUCGGUAAUGUUGUUGUGUGAAGGAAGCAACAGCAGCUAGGAAUCUAAUAAACUAUUUGAAUCAAAGAUGCAGUCAUCCAUGUCCCAGUAAUCCUUGAGUUUAUCUUUUGACAUCGUAUUCGGAUAUACAUGGCAAAGCACCAAAACGUCGACUCUCAUCACACCAGAACAACAUGAGUUACAGAUAGCAGAAGUUAUUAAACAAAGGUGAAUAUAUUCAUGUCUAUUUAAGGGUUAGUCCCACCAGUUUUCUUACAGAUUCAUUCCAUUUUCAGUUCCUUGAUAUGGUUUUCUACUUUAAGUAGUACCCAUGCUACGAUUCCUUGAUAUGUUACUAUAAUAACGAAAUUAUUAAACAACGUUGUUGUAUAUAUUUUCUUUUUUCUGGCUA
Papaver somniferum (opium poppy) is the source of this 3268-nucleotide long non-coding RNA. RefSeq lists it as uncharacterized. The transcript is spliced from 14 exons. The record is from RefSeq and is a predicted model, not a curated record. Lineage: Eukaryota; Viridiplantae; Streptophyta; Magnoliopsida; Ranunculales; Papaveraceae.